AGCGGCGGACGGGUGAGUAAUGCUUAGGAAUCUGCCUAUUAGUGGGGGACAACAUUCCGAAAGGAAUGCUAAUACCGCAUACGUCCUACGGGAGAAAGCAGGGGAUCUUCGGACCUUGCGCUAAUAGAUGAGCCUAAGUCGGAUUAGCUAGUUGGUGGGGUAAAGGCCUACCAAGGCGACGAUCUGUAGCGGGUCUGAGAGGAUGAUCCGCCACACUGGGACUGAGACACGGCCCAGACUCCUACGGGAGGCAGCAGUGGGGAAUAUUGGACAAUGGGGGGAACCCUGAUCCAGCCAUGCCGCGUGUGUGGAGAAGGCCUUAUGGUUGUAAAGCACUUUAAGCGAGGAGGAGGCUACUGAGACUAAUACUCUUGGAUAGUGGACGUUACUCGCAGAAUAAGCACCGGCUAACUCUGUGCCAGCAGCCGCGGUAAUACAGAGGGUGCGAGCGUUAAUCGGAUUUACUGGGCGUAAAGCGUGCGUAGGCGGCUUUUUAAGUCGGAUGUGAAAUCCCCGAGCUUAACUUGGGAAUUGCAUUCGAUACUGGGAAGCUAGAGUAUGGGAGAGGAUGGUAGAAUUCCAGGUGUAGCGGUGAAAUGCGUAGAGAUCUGGAGGAAUACCGAUGGCGAAGGCAGCCAUCUGGCCUAAUACUGACGCUGAGGUACGAAAGCAUGGGGAGCAAACAGGAUUAGAUACCCUGGUAGUCCAUGCCGUAAACGAUGUCUACUAGC
This 731-nucleotide ribosomal RNA is filed under the name uncultured bacterium. RNAcentral's name for it is "bacterial SSU rRNA". It matches the Rfam family "Bacterial small subunit ribosomal RNA", at positions 94 to 820 of the family's 1533-position model. The record is from RNAcentral.